RNAcentral lists this ribosomal RNA (538 nucleotides) under uncultured Staphylococcus sp. RNAcentral describes it as "partial 16S ribosomal RNA". Lineage: Bacteria; Bacillati; Bacillota; Bacilli; Caryophanales; Staphylococcaceae. The record is from RNAcentral.
CACGUAGUUAGCCGUGGCUUUCUGAUUAGGUACCGUCAAGACGUGCACAGUUACUUACACAUUUGUUCUUCCCUAAUAACAGAGUUUUACGAUCCGAAGACCUUCAUCACUCACGCGGCGUUGCUCCGUCAGGCUUUCUCCCAUUGCGGAAGAUUCCCUACUGCUGCCUCCCGUAGGAGUCUGGACCGUGUCUCAGUUCCAGUGUGGCCGAUCACCCUCUCAGGUCGGCUACGUAUCGUUGCCUUGGUAAGCCAUUACCCCACCAACUAGCUAAUACGGCGCUGGUCCAUCUAUAAGUGAUAGUAAAACCAUCUUUCACUUUAGAACCAUGCGGUUCUAAAAUAUUAUCCGGCAUUAGCCCCGGUUUCCCGGAGUUAUUCCAGUCUUAUAGGUAGGUUACCCACGUGUUACUCACCCGUCCGCCGCUAAACCGUCAAAAAGGAGCAAAGCUCCUUUAGUCUGUUUCGCUUCGACUUGCAUGUAAUUAGGGCCUAACGCCCGCCAGCGUUCAUCCCUAGACGCCCAGGACUCAAAACUC